RNAcentral lists this ribosomal RNA (465 nucleotides) under Vreelandella stevensii. Its description in RNAcentral is "partial 16S ribosomal RNA". It matches the Rfam family "Bacterial small subunit ribosomal RNA", at positions 338 to 795 of the family's 1533-position model. The record is from RNAcentral. Lineage: Bacteria; Pseudomonadati; Pseudomonadota; Gammaproteobacteria; Oceanospirillales; Halomonadaceae.
CCUACGGGGGGCUGCAGUGGGGAAUAUUGGACAAUGGGGGCAACCCUGAUCCAGCCAUGCCGCGUGUGUGAAGAAGGCCCUCGGGUUGUAAAGCACUUUCAGUGAGGAAGAACGCCUGGUGGUUAAUACCCAUCAGGAAAGACAUCACUCACAGAAGAAGCACCGGCUAACUCCGUGCCAGCAGCCGCGGUAAUACGGAGGGUGCGAGCGUUAAUCGGAAUUACUGGGCGUAAAGCGCGCGUAGGUGGCUUGAUAAGCCGGUUGUGAAAGCCCCGGGCUCAACCUGGGAACGGCAUCCGGAACUGUCAAGCUAGAGUGCAGGAGAGGAAGGUAGAAUUCCCGGUGUAGCGGUGAAAUGCGUAGAGAUCGGGAGGAAUACCAGUGGCGAAGGCGGCCUUCUGGACUGACACUGACACUGAGGUGCGAAAGCGUGGGUAGCAAACAGGAUUAGAUACCCUUGUAGAC